Molecule: ribosomal RNA, 531 nt
Filed under: uncultured bacterium
Lineage: Bacteria
Description: bacterial SSU rRNA
Rfam family: Bacterial small subunit ribosomal RNA
Source: RNAcentral
GAAUCUUGCACAAUGGGCGAAAGCCUGAUGYAGCGACGCCGCGUGGGGGAUGAAGCAUUUCGGUGUGUAAACCCCUUUCGAUCCGGACGAAACCCCGCAAGGGAUUGACGGUACGGAUAUAAGAAGCCCCGGCUAACUACGUGCCAGCAGCCGCGGUAAGACGUAGGGGGCCAGCGUUGUUCGGAAUUACUGGGUGUAAAGGGUCAGUAGGCGGUGCGGCAAGUCGGGAGUGAAAUCUCUGGGCUUAACCCAGAGGCUGCUUCCGAAACUGCUGUGCUUGAGUGUGGGAGAGGCGCGUGGAAUUGCAGGUGUAGCGGUGAAAUGCGUAGAUAUCUGCAGGAACACCCGUGGCGAAAGCGGCGCGCUGGACCACAACUGACGCUGAAUGACGAAAGCUAGGGGAGCAAACAGGAUUAGAUACCCUGGUAGUCCUAGCCCUAAACGAUCAGGACUUGGGGUGCCACCCGUUCGGGUGUCGUCCCGGAGCUAACGCGUUAAGUCCUGCACCUGGGGAGUACGGUCGCAAGACUG